CCUACGGGCGGCAGCAGUGGGGAAUAUUGGACAAUGGGGGGAACCCUGAUCCAGCCAUGCCGCGUGUGUGAAGAAGGCCCUCGGGUUGUAAAGCACUUUCAGUGAGGAAGAACGCCUGGUGGUUAAUACCCAUCAGGAAAGACAUCACUCGCAGAAGAAGCACCGGCUAACUCCGUGCCAGCAGCCGCGGUAAUACGGAGGGUGCGAGCGUUAAUCGGAAUUACUGGGCGUAAAGCGCGCGUAGGUGGCUUGAUAAGCCGGUUGUGAAAGCCCCGGGCUCAACCUGGGAACGGCAUCCGGAACUGUCAAGCUAGAGUGCAGGAGAGGAAGGUAGAAUUCCAGGUGUAGCGGUGAAAUGCGUAGAGAUCGGGAGGAAUACCAGUGGCGAAGGCGGCCUUCUGGACUGACACUGACACUGAGGUGCGAAAGCGUGGGUAGCAAACAGGAUUAGAUACCCGUGUAGUC
Molecule: ribosomal RNA, 465 nt
Filed under: Vreelandella stevensii
Lineage: Bacteria; Pseudomonadati; Pseudomonadota; Gammaproteobacteria; Oceanospirillales; Halomonadaceae
Description: partial 16S ribosomal RNA
Rfam family: Bacterial small subunit ribosomal RNA
Source: RNAcentral